RNAcentral lists this ribosomal RNA (497 nucleotides) under uncultured bacterium. RNAcentral's name for it is "partial 16S ribosomal RNA". It matches the Rfam family "Bacterial small subunit ribosomal RNA", at positions 28 to 507 of the family's 1533-position model. The record is from RNAcentral.
GAUGAACGCUGGCGGCGUGCCUAAUACAUGCAAGUCGAGCGAACAGACGAGGAGCUUGCUCCUCUGACGUUAGCGGCGGACGUGUGAGUAACACGUGGAUAACCUACCUAUAAGACUGGGAUAACUUAGGGAAACCGGAGCUAAUACCGGAUAAUAUAUUGAACCGCAUGGUUCAAUAGUGAAAGACGGUUUUGCUGUCACUUAUAGAUGGAUCCGCGCCGCAUUAGCUAGUUGGUAAGGUAACGGCUUACCAAGGCAACGAUGCGUAGCCGACCUGAGAGGGUGAUCGGCCACACUGGAACUGAGACACGGUCCAGACUCCUACGGGAGGCAGCAGUAGGGAAUCUUCCGCAAUGGGCGAAAGCCUGACGGAGCAACGCCGCGUGAGUGAUGAAGGUCUUCGGAUCGUAAAACUCUGUUAUUAGGGAAGAACAAAUGUGUAAGUAACUAUGCACGUCUUGACGGUACCUAAUCAGAAAGCCACGGCUAACUACGUG